CGGAGCUUGCUCCACCGGAAAAAGAAGAGUGGCGAACGGGUGAGUAACACGUGGGUAACCUGCCCAUCAGAAGGGGAUAACACUUGGAAACAGGUGCUAAUACCGUAUAACAAUCGAAACCGCAUGGUUUUGAUUUGAAAGGCGCUUUCGGGUGUCGCUGAUGGAUGGACCCGCGGUGCAUUAGCUAGUUGGUGAGGUAACGGCUCACCAAGGCCACGAUGCAUAGCCGACCUGAGAGGGUGAUCGGCCACAUUGGGACUGAGACACGGCCCAAACUCCUACGGGAGGCAGCAGUAGGGAAUCUUCGGCAAUGGACGAAAGUCUGACCGAGCAACGCCGCGUGAGUGAAGAAGGUUUUCGGAUCGUAAAACUCUGUUGUUAGAGAAGAACAAGGAUGAGAGUAACUGUUCAUCCCUUGACGGUAUCUAACCAGAAAGCCACGGCUAACUACGUGCCAGCAGCCGCGGUAAUACGUAGGUGGCAAGCGUUGUCCGGAUUUAUUGGGCGUAAAGCGAGCGCAGGCGGUUUCUUAAGUCUGAUGUGAAAGCCCCCGGCUCAACCGGGGAGGGUCAUUGGAAACUGGGAGACUUGAGUGCAGAAGAGGAGAGUGGAAUUCCAUGUGUAGCGGUGAAAUGCGUAGAUAUAUGGAGGAACACCAGUGGCGAA
RNAcentral lists this ribosomal RNA (666 nucleotides) under Enterococcus sp. FBPers-11_16-04. RNAcentral's name for it is "bacterial SSU rRNA". It matches the Rfam family "Bacterial small subunit ribosomal RNA", at positions 74 to 719 of the family's 1533-position model. RNAcentral also lists the same sequence under 6 other names. The record is from RNAcentral. Lineage: Bacteria; Bacillati; Bacillota; Bacilli; Lactobacillales; Enterococcaceae.